GGGGAUGUAAAGGCUUCGACGGGGAUUGUGAACCAUGGUAAGCAGGCAGCGCCGCGGAACGCUUUAUUUUCGCAAACAAAAUGAACUGACAAAACGAACAACGCUAACUAUAACUAUAGGGUGGCGUACGCAGCUUAAUUAAGCUGCCGUCCUUACCGGGAGCACCGCGGCCUGGCUAAGGGCGUCGAUUAGCGGUGAACGUGAACCGGGGAGCGCCUUGGCCCCGGUCAUGACCAAAAGGCUACCGGACGCGCAGAGCCUGCCUUUGGGCGCUGCGCCGAGGGAAUUUUAAAACACAGGCUAAGCUUGUAGAAAGCCCUGGCAAAUGAUCUUCGGACACGGGUUCGACUCCCGUCAUCUCCACCA
This 366-nucleotide transfer-messenger RNA is filed under the name Oscillospiraceae bacterium. It matches the Rfam family "transfer-messenger RNA". Rfam says of the family: Bacterial tmRNA, also known as 10Sa RNA or SsrA, is named for its dual tRNA and mRNA-like properties. Its role is to liberate the mRNA from a stalled ribosome. RNAcentral also lists the same sequence under 1 other name. The record is from RNAcentral. Lineage: Bacteria; Bacillati; Bacillota; Clostridia; Eubacteriales; Oscillospiraceae.